GAUGAACGCUAGCUACAGGCUUAACACAUGCAAGUCGAGGGGCAGCAUGGUCUUAGCUUGCUAAGGCCGAUGGCGACCGGCGCACGGGUGAGUAACACGUAUCCAACCUGCCGUCUACUCUUGGACAGCCUUCUGAAAGGAAGAUUAAUACAAGAUGGCAUCAUGAGUCCGCAUGUUCACAUGAUUAAAGGUAUUCCGGUAGACGAUGGGGAUGCGUUCCAUUAGAUAGUAGGCGGGGUAACGGCCCACCUAGUCUUCGAUGGAUAGGGGUUCUGAGAGGAAGGUCCCCCACAUUGGAACUGAGACACGGUCCAAACUCCUACGGGAGGCAGCAGUGAGGAAUAUUGGUCAAUGGGCGAGAGCCUGAACCAGCCAAGUAGCGUGAAGGAUGACUGCCCUAUGGGUUGUAAACUUCUUUUAUAAAGGAAUAAAGUCGGGUAUGCAUACCCGUUUGCAUGUACUUUAUGAAUAAGGAUCGGCUAACUCCGUGCCAGCAGCCGCGGUAAUACGGAGGAUCCGAGCGUUAUCCGGAUUUAUUGGGUUUAAAGGGAGCGUAGAUGGAUGUUUAAGUCAGUUGUGAAAGUUUGCGGCUCAACCGUAAAAUUGCAGUUGAUACUGGAUAUCUUGAGUGCAGUUGAGGCAGGCGGAAUUCGUGGUGUAGCGGUGAAAUGCUUAGAUAUCACGAAGAACUCCGAUUGCGAAGGCAGCCUGCUAAGCUGCAACUGACAUUGAGGCUCGAAAGUGUGGGUAUCAAACAGGAUUAGAUACCCUGGUAGUCCACACGGUAAACGAUGAAUACUCGCUGUUUGCGAUAUACGGCAAGCGGCCAAGCGAAAGCGUUAAGUAUUCCACCUGGGGAGUACGCCGGCAACGGUGAAACUCAAAGGAAUUGACGGGGGCCCGCACAAGCGGAGGAACAUGUGGUUUAAUUCGAUAAUACGCGAGGAACCUUACCCGGGCUUAAAUUGCAGAUGAAUUACGGUGAAAGCCGUAAGCCGCAAGGCAUCUGUGAAGGUGCUGCAUGGUUGUCGUCAGCUCGUGCCGUGAGGUGUCGGCUUAAGUGCCAUAACGAGCGCAACCCUUGUUGUCAGUUACUAACAGGUCAUGCUGAGGACUCUGACAAGACUGCCAUCGUAAGAUGUGAGGAAGGUGGGGAUGACGUCAAAUCAGCACGGCCCUUACGUCCGGGGCUACACACGUGUUACAAUGGGGGGUACAGAGGGCCGCUACCACGCGAGUGGAUGCCAAUCCCAAAAACCUCUCUCAGUUCGGACUGGAGUCUGCAACCCGACUCCACGAAGCUGGAUUCGCUAGUAAUCGCGCAUCAGCCACGGCGCGGUGAAUACGUUCCCGGGCCUUGUACACACCGCCCGUCAAGCCAUGGGAGCCGGGGGUACCUGAAGUGCGUAACCGCGAGGAGCGCCCUAGGGUAAAACUGGUGACUGGGGC
Molecule: ribosomal RNA, 1449 nt
Filed under: uncultured organism
Description: 16S ribosomal RNA
Rfam family: Bacterial small subunit ribosomal RNA
Source: RNAcentral